Molecule: ribosomal RNA, 505 nt
Filed under: uncultured bacterium
Lineage: Bacteria
Description: partial 16S ribosomal RNA
Rfam family: Bacterial small subunit ribosomal RNA
Source: RNAcentral
GACGAACGCUGGCGGCGUGCCUAAUACAUGCAAGUAGAACGCACAGUUUAUACCGUAGCUUGCUACACCAUAAACUGUGAGUUGCGAACGGGUGAGUAACGCGUAGGUAACCUGCCUGGUAGCGGGGGAUAACUAUUGGAAACGAUAGCUAAUACCGCAUAAUAUUGAUUAUUGCAUGAUAAUUGAUUGAAAGAUGCUAUUGCAUCACUACCAGAUGGACCUGCGUUGUAUUAGCUAGUAGGUGAGGUAACGGCUCACCUAGGCGACGAUACAUAGCCGACCUGAGAGGGUGAUCGGCCACACUGGGACUGAGACACGGCCCAGACUCCUACGGGAGGCAGCAGUAGGGAAUCUUCGGCAAUGGACGAAAGUCUGACCGAGCAACGCCGCGUGAGUGAAGAAGGUUUUCGGAUCGUAAAGCUCUGUUGUAAGAGAAGAACGAGUGUGAGAGUGGAAAGUUCACACUGUGACGGUAUCUUACCAGAAAGGGACGGCUAACUACGUG